CAUCGCUGUAAAUUCCUUCAAUAUUAACAAAAGGAUGAUAAUAAUGUUAAUUUUAAUGAUGACCAUAACAAUGGUGAUGACGAUGAUGAAGAUGAUGAAGAUUUUUGAUGGUGAUUGUUUUUUUUUAUUGUAUUGAUGAUAUUGUGUAAAUACAACAUGUCUCUCCACUGCAGUCCUAAUCUCGGAUCAACACAGAGCUAAAAUAUUGGACUAAAAUAUUGCUGAUGAUUAAUGAUGAUUCAGGGUUAAUUAAUUAGAUGAUUAAGUUCUGAGGGGACGUGUUAGAAAACAAACGAGAAGCGGAAGCAGGGCUGUAGCUCCACCCAGCUUCUUUUUUUUUUCAAAUUAGGGGAGAGUCGAUGUGCCAAAUGUCCCCUCCACUUCUGAAAUGUGCAAUAUGUGAACACAUCAUGAUUUGUCCAAAUGAUAUGUGCACCGGAAACAAAGUUCCUCGUUAGUCGGCGCAUCCCACAGUCUGUUGACAGAUGCUACGAUAUCAGUUAUGUUAUCCCACAGUCUGUUGACAGACACUACGAUAUCAGUUAUGUUAUCCCACAGUCUGUUGACAGACACUACGAUAUCAGUUAUGUUAUCCCACAGUCUGUUGACAGACACUACGAUAUCAGUUAUGUUAUCCCACAGUCUGUUGACAGACACUACGAUAUCAGUUAUGUUAUCCCACAGUCUGUUGACAUACGCUACGAUAUCAGUUAUGUUAUCCCACAGUCUGUUGACAUACGCUACGAUAUCAGUUAUGUUAUCCCACAGUCUGUUGACAGACGUUAUGAUAUCAGUUAUGUUAUCCCACAGUCUGUUGACAGACACUACGAUAUCAGUUAUGUUAUCCCACAGUCUGUUGACAGACGUUAUGAUAUCAGUUAUGUUAUCCCACAGUCUGUUGACAGACACUAUGAUAUCAGUUAUGUUAUCCCACAGUCUGUUGACAGACACUACGAUAUCAGUUAUGUUAUCCCACAGUCUGUUGACAUACGCUACGAUAUCAGUUAUGUUAUCCCACAGUCUGUUGACAGACACUAUGAUAUCAGUUAUGUUAUCCCACAGUCUGUUGACAGACGUUAUGAUAUCAGUUAUGUUAUCCCACAGUCUGUUGACAGACGCUAUGAUAUCAGUUAUGUUAUCCCACAGUCUGUUGACAGACGUUAUGAUAUCAGUUAUGUUAUCCCACAGUCUGUUGACAGACGUUAUGAUAUCAGUUAUAUUAACCCACAGUCUGUUGACAGACGCUAUGAUAUCAGUUAUGUUAUCCCACAGUCUGUUGACAGACGUUAUGAUAUCAGUUAUGUUAUCCCACAGUCUGUUGACAGACGCUAUGAUAUCAGUUAUGUUAUCCCACAGUCUGUUGACAGACACUACGAUAUCAGUUAUGUUAUCCCACAGUCUGUUGACAGACGCUAUGAUAUCAGUUAUGUUAUCCCACAGUCUGUUGACAGACACUACGAUAUCAGUUAUGUUAUCCCACAGUCUGUUGACAGACACUACGAUAUCAGUUAUGUUAUCCCACAGUCUGUUGACAGACGCUACGAUAUCAGUUAUGUUAUCCCACUGUCUGUUGACAGACGCUAUGAUAUCAGUUAUGUUAACCCACAGUCUGUUGACAGACACUAUGAUAUCAGUUAUGUUAUCCCACAGUCUGUUGACAGACGCUAUGAUAUCAGUUAUGUUAACCCACAGUCUGUUGACAGACGUUAUGAUAUCAGUUAUGUUAUCCCACAGUCUGUUGACAGACACUACGAUAUCAGUUAUGUUAUCCCACAGUCUGUUGACAGACACUACGAUAUCAGUUAUGUUAUCCCACAGUCUGUUGACAGACACUACGAUAUCAGUUAUGUUAUCCCACAGUCUGUUGACAGACGCUACGAUAUCAGUUAUGUUAUCCCACAGUCUGUUGACAGACGCUAUGAUAUCAGUUAUGUUAACCCACAGUCUGUUGACAGACACUAUGAUAUCAGUUAUGUUAUCCCACAGUCUGUUGACAGACACUACGAUAUCAGUUAUGUUAUCCCACAGUCUGUUGACAGACGCUAUGAUAUCAGUUAUGUUAACCCACAGUCUGUUGACAGACGCUAUGAUAUCAGUUAUGUUAACCCACAGUCUGUUGACAGACACUAUGAUAUCAGUUAUGUUAUCCCACAGUCUGUUGACAGACGCUACGAUAUCAGUUAUGUUAUCCCACAGUCUGUUGACAGACGCUACGAUAUCAGUUAUGUUAUCCCACAGUCUGUUGACAGACACUACGAUAUCAGUUAUGUUAACCCACAGUCUGUUGACAGACGCUACGAUAUCAGUUAUGUUAACCCACAGUCUGUUGACAGACACUACGAUAUCAGUUAUGUUAACCCACAGUCUGUUGACAUACGCUAUGAUAUCAGUUAUGUUAUCCCACAGUCUGUUGACAGACGCUACGAUAUCAGUUAUGUUAUCCCACAGUCUGUUGACAGACACUACGAUAUCAGUUAUGUUAACCCACAGUCUGUUGACAGACACUACGAUAUCAGUUAUGUUAACCCACAGUCUGUUGACAUACGCUACGAUAUCAGUUAUGUUAUCCCACAGUCUGUUGACAGACGCUACGAUAUCAGUUAUGUUAUCCCACAGUCUGUUGACAGACACUACGAUAUCAGUUAUGUUAUCCCACAGUCUGUUGACAUACGCUAUGAUAUUAGUUAUGUUAACCCACAGUCUGUUGACAGACGCUAUGAUAUCAGUUAUGUUAACCCACAGUCUGUUGACAGACACUACGAUAUCAGUUAUGUUAACCCACAGUCUGUUGACAUACGCUACGAUAUCAGUUAUGUUAUCCCACAGUCUGUUGACAGACGCUACGAUAUCAGUUAUGUUAUCCCACAGUCUGUUGACAGACACUACGAUAUCAGUUAUGUUAUCCCACAGUCUGUUGACAGACGUUAUGAUAUCAGUUAUGUUAUCCCACAGUCUGUUGACAGACGCUAUGAUAUCAGUUAUGUUAUCCCACAGUCUGUUGACAGACGUUAUGAUAUCAGUUAUGUUAUCCCACAGUCUGUUGACAGACGCUAUGAUAUCAGUUAUAUUAACCCACAGUCUGUUGACAGACGCUAUGAUAUCAGUUAUGUUAACCCACAGUCUGUUGACAGACACUACGAUAUCAGUUAUGUUAACCCACAGUCUGUUGACAUACGCUACGAUAUCAGUUAUGUUAUCCCACAGUCUGUUGACAGACGCUACGAUAUCAGUUAUGUUAUCCCACAGUCUGUUGACAGACACUACGAUAUCAGUUAUGUUAUCCCACAGUCUGUUGACAGACGUUAUGAUAUCAGUUAUGUUAUCCCACAGUCUGUUGACAGACGCUAUGAUAUCAGUUAUGUUAUCCCACAGUCUGUUGACAGACGUUAUGAUAUCAGUUAUGUUAUCCCACAGUCUGUUGACAGACACUACGAUAUCAGUUAUGUUAUCCCACAGUCUGUUGACAGACGCUAUGAUAUCAGUUAUGUUAUCCCACAGUCUGUUGACAGACGUUAUGAUAUCAGUUAUGUUAACCCACAGUCUGUUGACAGACGCUAUGAUAUCAGUUAUGUUAACCCACAGUCUGUUGACAGACGCUAUGAUAUCAGUUAUGUUAUCCCACAGUCUGUUGACAGACGCUAUGAUAUCAGUUAUGUUAACCCACAGUCUGUUGACAGACGUUAUGAUAUCAGUUAUGUUAACCCACAGUCUGUUGACAGACACUAUGAUAACCCACAGUCUGUUGACAGACGCUACGAUAUCAGUUAUGUUAACCCACAGUCUGUUGACAGACGCUACGAUAUCAGUUAUAUUAACCCACAGUCUGUUGACAGACGCUAUGAUAUCAGUUAUGUUAGCCCACAGUCUGUUGACAGACAUUAUGAUAUCAGUUAUGUUAUCCCACAGUCUGUUGACAGACACUAUGAUAUCAGUUAUGUUAUCCCACAGUCUGUUGACAGACGCUAUGAUAUCAGUUAUGUUAACCCACAGUCUGUUGACAGACGCUAUGAUAUCAGUUAUGUUAACCCACAGUCUGUUGACAGACGCUAUGAUAUCAGUUAUGUUAACCCACAGUCUGUUGACAGACAUUAUGAUAUCAGUUAUGUUAUCCCACAGUCUGUUGACAUACGCUAUGAUAUCAGUUAUGUUAACCCACAGUCUGUUGACAGACGCUAUGAUAUCAGUUAUGUUAACCCACAGUCUGUUGACAGACAUUAUGAUAUCAGUUAUGUUAUCCCACAGUCUGUUGACAUACGCUAUGAUAUUAGUUAUGUUAACCCACAGUCUGUUGACAGACAUUAUGAUAUCAGUUAUGUUAUCCCACAGUCUGUUGACAGACGCUAUGAUAUCAGUAAUGUUAUCCCACAGUCUGUUGACAGACGCUAUGAUAUCAGUUAUGUUAUCCCACAGUCUGUUGACAGAUGCUAUGAUAUCAGUUAUGUUAUCCCACAGUCUGUUGACAGACACUAUGAUAUCAGUUAUGUUAUCCCACAGUCUGUUGACAGACGCUAUUAUAUCAGUUAUGUUAUCCCACAGUCUGUUGACAGACGCUAUGAUAUCCCACAGUCUGUUGACAGACGCUAUGAUAUCCCACAGUCUGUUGACAGACGCUAUGAUAUCCCACAGUCUGUUGACAGAUGCUAUGAUAUCCCACAGUCUGUUGACAGACGCUAUGAUAUCCCACAGUCUGUUGACAGACGUUAUGAUAUCAGUUAUGUUAUCUGUGUUUGUCCACUAGAGACUGCAGUCCUAACCACCGUCAGCAGCUCAGGGUUAGGGUGGACAGUAGAGUGA
Molecule: long non-coding RNA, 4794 nt
Filed under: Oncorhynchus mykiss (rainbow trout)
Lineage: Eukaryota; Metazoa; Chordata; Actinopteri; Salmoniformes; Salmonidae
Description: lncRNA (ENSOMYG00000077060.1)
Source: RNAcentral